CCUGGCCUCUGUCAGCACACACAGCUGCUUACAUAGAGCAAGAUGGAAACUGAGAUAUGGGGAAGAUGGGGAGGGGAAGGAGAGGCAAGAGAAGCAUUAGCGUCUCAGGUUUUUGUACAGUGUUUUUUUACUGUGGGGACAGGAAGCACAGUGAUACAAUCCAAUAUGGCUGCUGUACAAAAACUUCUUCACUGGAGAACGAUUAGUGUGGGGGGCUGCAGGGUGGUGCGGACACUUGUCAGCAAUAAGAUAAGUAGAAUUUGCAAGGAUCUGUCUAUGUCCAGGCACUGUGUGAAAUGGCAAACUUGUUUUUUAAGUUGAGCUUGUCAAUUAUGAACACAACUUCGGGUGAAGUGCAAAACUUACUGUUCUUGGUGAGUAAAAAGUCCAUUAUCCUGGCUAAUUCAAAUUUAGAAUUAAAAAGAAAGGUACUAAUUGCACAUUGAGGGUGAUUUGAGUAGUUAAGAGCUGCUGCUAGCUGAGGCUCAGUCUGGCAAAGGAACCAAACGGACUACUGAAGGCAAGAAAUCAACAUAAAAUGACAUAAAACAUCAGAAACAGGUUUUGUGUAGAAUAAUUCUGCUCUGAAGAAGCUUAUAUGAAACAUCUGACACUUUGCUUGUGAUGAUAAGUAGAAACUGCUACCAGUUAACAUCAAAACUGUGUCAUAUGCUGCAGUUUAAAGAAGAAAAAAAUAAUUGAAAGUCAUUUAAAUCUCUUUUGGCUACAGUAGAUUACUUUUUAAGAUGUUAUGCUUAAAAACACAAUAAAGCAUGAAAAUACCCGACCAGGAAGAUGAGGAAAGAAGCAGCAGGUGUUUUUGUAACAGGCAGAGAGCUCUGUGUUCAUUCAGCCAGGCUCACUUUGGAGCUGGGACCAAAAUCACCGUUUUAGAGUCGGGCCGCACGUCUGAAAUACCAACAGUGAAGGUGCUUCAACCCUCCAAAAAGGAGUGUGACGACAGGACAGACAAGACAAAGAAGACGACUUUGGUGUGUGUUGUCUCUGGUUUCUAUCCAGACCAUGUGAGUGUGUCCUGGCAGAUUGAUGGGUCACUCAUGGCGCAUGGCGUGGUGACGGAUGGUGCUGCCCGACGGGACGGUGAAUAUUACAGCAUCACAAGCAGAAUGAGGGUCUCCACCUCCCAGUGGUCCACACCCUUCAAAAACUUUACCUGUACCGCCGUCUUCUUCAAUGGGACAAACUCUGUUACCUACUCAAACUGGAUCAUAGGAGCUGAUGGAGUGAGAGAAAAAUAUCUACGAAUCACACAAGCUGCCAAACUGUCCUACCUGGUUUUGAUCAUGAAGAGCAGCAUCUAUGGACUCGUGGUGGUGUUCAUGGUGAAGAAGCUUCAGGUUUCAUCUGGAAAAGAAAAGAAGUGAGAGCUGAGCUGAACUAAACCUGAACCGGUCCGAGGGAGAGUUUUUUGCUUUAAACGUAAACUUUCUGACUGUAAGCAAACGGACACGAAGUCCGGCGCCUGCUGAUGAUUCAUUGUGGUCUCUGUGUGGGAUUGUGUUCUGCUUUCUUUCUGAAUUAAAAAGAGUUUGACAGAGA
Melanotaenia boesemani (Boeseman's rainbowfish) is the source of this 1560-nucleotide non-coding RNA. The record is from the annotation of a RefSeq genome assembly. Lineage: Eukaryota; Metazoa; Chordata; Actinopteri; Atheriniformes; Melanotaeniidae.